GAAGAAUUGGGUUUGGAGAUGGCAAUUCGUUCCUUAGAGCAUCUUUUGCAGUAUGGGGAGCAAAAUAUUCGUCGUGCUGUUCCCUUGGCUCUUGGUCUCCUUUGCAUCUCAAACCCCAAGGUUAAUGUUAUGGACACGUUAAGCAGACUGAGCCAUGAUACAGAUUCCGAAGUAGCGAUGGCAGCAGUAAUCUCCUUAGGUUUGAUUGGUGCUGGAACCAAUAACGCAAGAAUAGCUGGCAUGCUUCGAAAUCUUUCGAGUUAUUACUACAAAGAUGCGAGCCUUCUUUUCUGUGUCAGGAUCGCCCAAGGGCUUGUACAUUUGGGGAAGGGCCUGUUAACUCUUAAUCCUUAUCAUUCUGACCGAUUCUUAUUAGCACCGACGGCGCUUGCAGGAUUAAUAAUUACGUUGCAUGCAUGUCUUGACAUGAAAGCCAUUAUCCUGGGGAAAUAUCAUUAUGUGCUCUACUACCUUGUCUUGGCAAUGCAGCCGAGAAUGCUGUUGACCGUGGAUGAGAAUCUUAAGCCUCUUUCAGUACCUGUUCGGGUGGGUCAGGCUGUUGAUGUCGUCGGACAGGCGGGUCGGCCAAAGACAAUCACUGGUUUUCAAACUCACUCAACCCCAGUUCUUCUUGCUGCUGGUGACAGGGCAGAACUGGCCACUGAAAAGUACAUUCCUCUUUCGCCAAUCCUAGAAGGAUUUGUUGUUUUACAGGAGAACCCGGAAUACAGAGAAGAACAGUAGGAAGCCAU
Molecule: unclassified non-coding RNA, 752 nt
Filed under: Hevea brasiliensis (rubber tree)
Lineage: Eukaryota; Viridiplantae; Streptophyta; Magnoliopsida; Malpighiales; Euphorbiaceae
Source: RNAcentral